Molecule: ribosomal RNA, 253 nt
Filed under: uncultured bacterium
Lineage: Bacteria
Description: partial 16S ribosomal RNA
Rfam family: Bacterial small subunit ribosomal RNA
Source: RNAcentral
UACGAAGGGGGCUAGCGUUGUUCGGAAUUACUGGGCGUAAAGCGCACGUAGGCGGAUACUUAAGUUAGGGGUGAAAUCCCGGGGCUCAACCCCGGAACUGCCUUUGAUACUGGGUAUCUGGAGUCCAAGAGAGGUGAGUGGAAUUCCGAGUGUAGAGGUGAAAUUCGUAGAUAUUCGGAGGAACACCAGUGGCGAAGGCGGCUCACUGGCUCGGUACUGACGCUGAGGUGCGAAAGCGUGGGGAGCAAACAGG